This 254-nucleotide ribosomal RNA is filed under the name uncultured bacterium. Its description in RNAcentral is "partial 16S ribosomal RNA". It matches the Rfam family "Bacterial small subunit ribosomal RNA", at positions 524 to 776 of the family's 1533-position model. The record is from RNAcentral.
UACGUAGGGGUCGAGCGUUGUCCGGAAUUAUUGGGCGUAAAGAGCUCGUAGGCGGUUUGUCGCGUUCGGCCGUGAAAACUUGGGGACUUAACUCCAGCUUGCGGUCGAUACGGGCAGACUUGAGUUCGGCAGGGGAGACUGGAAUUCCUGGUGUAGCGGUGAAAUGCGCAGAUAUCAGGAGGAACACCGGUGGCGAAGGCGGGUCUCUGGGCCGACACUGACGCUGAGGAGCGAAAGCGUGGGGAGCGAACAGG